UUCACCUUCCAUCCUCCAGACUCCAGCACAGAGAGCAAUGAUGAGCGAUCUCCCGUACCUCCCCGCCGCCCACCCCAUCUCCAGCAGAAACAACAGCAGCAGCAGCAACAGCAACAGCAGCAGCAACAACAACAACAAAAGCCUACCAACCUUCCAGCCACACAACAACAACAACAACAACAGCAUCCUCACCCUCAGAGUGCCCGAAGGCACCACGCCUUCACUCCCGCACACGCCCAUGUUCUAAGGUCUAACACCCUGGAGAGUGUGUAUUCUGUGGAGGGGGCGGUGGGUGGGCCUCUACGUCCACCCACAGGGUUCUCAGACUCCCGUGAGUUUUCUGAGGCUGAGUGUGACCGUGAUCCUCGAGACGUUAUCCUUCGAGGACAGAAGGGCAGAGGACAACAACCAAGGCGGCCCUUCACCCCAGCCAUUGGUAAUGACUACAGCAUCCACGUGUGAGCUGACAUUCAUUCCCCACGCUCACACAAGCCCAUCACUAGGCUGAUAGUAGCAUUGUUCCAGAGUGACACUUAUCCAUUACCAGACUGACACAAGUCCAUCAUCAUGCUGACAACAGCAUUGUUCCAGACUGGCAUAUCUCCACCAGGCUGUCAGUAGCAUUGCUCUGGAGUAGCAUUUCUUCCUCACCAGGCUGGCACAAGCCUAUCACCCGGACGACAGCACCAUUGUUCCUGAGUGACAGUUCUCCAUUACCACGCAACACAAGUCAUCACCAAGCUGACAGUAGCAUUGCUGCAGACUGUCACUUCACCUUCACCAGCCUGACUCAGCCCAUCACUAGGCUAAUACCAGCGCCAUCACAGCCAAAUAACAGGUCUAGUCCAGCUUUACAACUGCCCUUCACCAUCCUAACCACAGACGUAUACCUACCCAUUACCAGCCUAAUCACAGAAUCACAUUCACCUCUCACCACUCAGAGCAUAAGUUCCAGAUACUGACAUGUCCACAGCACUGAACGCGUCCAUUACCUACCUAACCCAGCAUUACACCUGCCUUUCACCAUUCUAAUUUCAGCAUUACACCCACCAUCACAAGCCUGCCCACAGGCUUAUGCCAACCAUCACUAGACUUGCCUAUGCCUUACACCCUCCUAUCUCCAUACUGACCACAAUAUUACUAUACACACGGCACCCACCAGCCAAACCACAGUUAUGAACACAUUCAUCACUCCGCUGACACGUUCAUUAAGAACCGAACACACACCACAUUGU
Molecule: non-coding RNA, 1235 nt
Organism: Cherax quadricarinatus
Lineage: Eukaryota; Metazoa; Arthropoda; Malacostraca; Decapoda; Parastacidae
Source: RefSeq, a predicted model, not a curated record